AGAGUUUGAUCCUGGCUCAGAACGAACGCUGGCGGCGUGCUUAACACAUGCAAGUCGAACGCGAAAGGGACUUCGGUCCUGAGUAAAGUGGCGCACGGGUGAGUAACGCGUAGAUAACCUGUCUUUGUGUCUGGAAUAAUACUUCGAAAGGGGUACUAAUACCGGAUAACCUUGCUUUUCACAAGUUAUGCAAGCAAAGGUGGCCUCUGAUACAAGCUACUGCAUGAAGAGGGGUCUGCGUACCAUUAGCUAGUAGGUGGGGUAAUGGCCUACCUAGGCGACGAUGGUUAGCGGGUCUGAGAGGAUGAUCCGCCACACUGGCACUGGAACACGGGCCAGACUCCUACGGGAGGCAGCAGUGAGGAAUAUUGCGCAAUGGGGGCAACCCUGACGCAGCGACGCCGCGUGAGUGAGGAAGGCCUUCGGGUCGUAAAGCUCUGUCAAGAGGAAAGAAGUGCAUAAUGGUUAAUACCUGUUAUGUUUGACGGUACCUCUAAAGGAAGCACCGGCUAACUCCGUGCCAGCAGCCGCGGUAAUACGGAGGGUGCAAGCGUUGUUCGGAAUCACUGGGCGUAAAGGGCGCGCAGGCGGUAUGGUAAGUCAGAUGUGAAAGCCCACGGCUUAACCGUGGAAGGGCAUUUGAAACUGCCAGACUUGAGUACCAGAGGGGAAAGUGGAAUUCCCGGUGUAGAGGUGAAAUUCGUAGAUAUCGGGAGGAAUACCGGUGGCGAAGGCGACUUUCUGGCUGAGUACUGACGCUGAGGCGCGAAAGCGUGGGGAGCAAACAGGAUUAGAUACCCUGGUAGUCCACGCCGUAAACGAUGUCAACUAGAUGCAGGGGGUGUUGAUCCCCUCUGUGUCGCAGCUAACGCAUUAAGUUGACCGCCUGGGGAGUACGGUCGCAAGAUUAAAACUCAAAGGAAUUGACGG
This 930-nucleotide ribosomal RNA is filed under the name uncultured bacterium. RNAcentral describes it as "bacterial SSU rRNA". It matches the Rfam family "Bacterial small subunit ribosomal RNA", at positions 8 to 916 of the family's 1533-position model. The record is from RNAcentral.